AUAAACUUCGUUCAUUUCAUUUCAAUUUUAGUACCAAACUAACUCAAAAGUAUAUCAAUUUAACUUACUAUGACCAUCAAUUCAUCUUAAGUUCAAACAUGCAUUUUCUCAACACUUAAAUAGCCAAUUCAUAUGGCUAAAUACACAUUAGCAUUUAAAAGCCAAAUCUCAUGGCUAAUAUCAUAACUCAAAACAUACCAAUAUGACAUUAGCCUAUACAUGCCUUAUACCAUAAACAUACAAUUCAAAAGUACCAACUUAGAUGUCCUAUAGCGCGAUGAUGUUCCUAACGACUUUUGGAUCCGAGCUAGCCUUGAUUCUCUAUAAAACAUAAGAAAAUAACACGAAGUAAGCUUCAUAGCUUAGUAAGCUCGUAAGUGAAUAAUUCAAUACAUCAAAUACAUACAAUUUAACUAAUUGUACAUAACAUCACCAUAUAUACAAUUACAACAAACCUUUCUCAUGUCUUAAAACAUGAUCAAAUACCAUUUCAUUAUCUUUCUCUAUUAAAUACUCGAAUAGGUUCUGUACGUACCUGUAUCGUUUCGUACUAACCUCUUUCUCAAUUAUCUCAAUGAUAUUUAUAAUUCAAUUCAACUAGGUUGAAUUCAAAUAAAUCUCAAACACAUAAACAUUUAACUAAUUCAUAUAAUUGCAUAUUAUCACAUUAAGUACUAAACUUACCUUAAUAUUGCAUGAAUAUAACUUCACACAUACCUGAACCAUUCAACUCAAAUUCACAUUCAGAAUUGUUAAGAUCAUACGGAAAUCAUAUAAAACUCGUAUAUUGUCAUAUUCCGAAUAUGAUUUUACAUGUUAACGCAUAUCGAUGACACUGUCCCAAACAGAGUCUUAUACAAAUCAUAUAUUAUGCCAAUGUCCCAGACAUGGUUUUACACUUUUUCUCAUUUCGAUGCCAAUGUCCCAUACAUGGUCUUACACGAAAUUACACCUCGGAAGUCCAAAUAUAAUGACAUUAAUAUUCAAUACAUUUAUUAAGGUUCGUUCGGAGUUUUCAACUUCGUAAUUCAAUCAAUUCAUGCACGAAACUAGUCAUGCAAUGCUCAAAUCAAUUCGACAAUAUAUAUCCAUAUACGAAUCAAAUUCGACAAUGUAUAUCUUUAUACAAAUCAAAUUCGACAAUGAAUAUCCAUAUACAAAUCAAAUUCGGCAAUAUAUAUCUAUAUACAAAUCAAAUUGGGCAAUGUAUAAAACAUAUACAUUUAAAUUAAAAAAAACAUUUAUUUACUUAUGAACUUACCUUGUACUCAGAAUUGACGAAUCGGAUCGGUUACUCGAUAAUUUUGCCUUUCCCCCGAUCUAAUUCGAAUUCCUCUUUUCUUGAUUUAUAUAUAUUCAAAAUUAACUCAUUUAAUCAUAUAAUCAUUCAGUUCAGUCUAAAAACACAUUUAAGUCAAUUUGCACUUUUGCCUUAAACUUUCACAUUUCUUACAAUUUAGUUUCUAUUUCAGAAAUACACAAAAUUCAUAAAAUUCAGCAAGACCCAUGCUUGGCCGAAUUACCAUAGUGCCCUUAAUAGCCUAUAUUUCACAUUUAUUCACAUUUUAACCUUACAUUUUUAUCUUUUCACAAUUUAUUCCUUAAUUUGCAUUUUCAUCAAAAAUUACUUUAUAAAAUAUGAAAAUCUAACAUUUAAUAUUUAUAUUUCAUCAUUAAACAUCAAAAAACACAUAAGCUCAUCAAUGGCAACUAUCAAAAUCUUUUACAAUUUUGAAAUUGAAGACAUGGGCUAGCUAGUACUAGUUGCAACGAUCACAAAAACAUAAAAAUAAUUAAAAAUAGAUUAAAAAUACAUACCAAAUUGAAGGAUAUAAGAUUGUCGAAAGUUAAGCACAAAAAAGGCUUUCUUCUUUGUGAAAUUCGGU
This 1886-nucleotide long non-coding RNA is filed under the name Gossypium barbadense (sea-island cotton). RNAcentral describes it as "long non-coding RNA (GBAR_LNC021560)". The record is from RNAcentral. Lineage: Eukaryota; Viridiplantae; Streptophyta; Magnoliopsida; Malvales; Malvaceae.